ACACUGACAACAUGAAGGCCCUCUUCCUCAUAGGACUGCUUGCUCUGGUAGCGAGCACCGCCUUUGCGCAAUAUAGCGAAGUUGUUGGCAGUUACGAUGUUGCUGGCGGGGGUGGUGCUCAACAAUGCCCUGUAGAGACAAAGCUAAAUUCAUGCAGGAAUUACCUGCUAGAUCGAUGCUCAACGAUGAAGGAUUUCCCGGUCACCUGGCGUUGGUGGAAAUGGUGGAAGGGAGGUUGUCAAGAGCUCCUUGGGGAGUGUUGCAGUCGGCUCGGCCAAAUGCCACCGCAAUGCCGCUGCAACAUCAUCCAGGGGUCAAUCCAAGGCGAUCUCGGUGGCAUCUUCGGAUUUCAGCGUGAUCGGGCAAGCAAAGUGAUACAAGAAGCCAAGAACCUGCCGCCCAGGUGCAACCAGGGCCCUCCCUGCAACAUCCCCGGCACUAUUGGCUAUUACUGGUGAUGUAGCUUCCAUUUAUGACUAGCUAAUAAACUGUCACAUACCACUGCGUGUGACAAAUAAAAGUGGUCAUGGAAUAAUUUAUGAAUAAAAUUUCAGCAUGUGCCUGCGCGAGGUGUCUAUAGCAAACAUUUCAGUAUGCCUAUAUAUGUUAAUCAAGAUAGCAAUGUUCACAUACACCCAGAAUAAUAGUUUGUGUAAUUAGUUGUGUAUGUUCUUGGUGGUGGUUUGUGUACAGAUUUGCCUUCCUUCUAACAAAAUAUGAAUACAUGGAGCUGUUCAAGCCUUAAACAUGGAAGAUAAGAGAAUGAAACGAGCCAUCCAAUUAAAUUACUAUGAGUUUGCCGUGAGGAUACCAUUGUUAGUUCAACAAAUGACUUAAAAUAAUUCCAUUUUAUUUCCUGACAUGUUAACAAGAAUGAUAUGCACCAACCACUUCAUGUAUCUUGUGCACAAGCAUCAUCAUAAUCAUCAAUCUAACAACUUGCACAAGAUGACAAAUCUAGUUUCACAGAAAAAUUAAAUCUAGAACAAACCACUAGGCCUGAACGACAUCUAAAUACAAGACAAAAAACAACACAGCUCAAACAGGGUGGCAUUUAAAAAAAAUGGUGUAUAUUAAUUAGAUAUGCUAGAGUUUAUUACUACCUCUGUACCGAAAUAUAAGACGUUUUUGUACGGAAAUUGCUUUUGGAGGCCGAGCUCCAUGCAGGCCUUCAAAUGCAAAAUUCAAAAUUCAUGAAAAUUCAUAUUUUUACAUUUAAAAAAUUCUAAAAAAUAGAGACAUACAUGAAGGCAUAAUGCACAAGUGUGUAAAUAUUCAGGACGAAAUACGUUGAAAUGAGGGCUGUGCAAAAAUAAAUCUGAGACUUGAUACUAUUCAUCCUCCCAGACCAUGAAUUUGUCUUUUUUGUAUAGGUGGCAUUUCAAUGUAUUUGAUCCUGAAAUUUUACACACAUACAACUCACACCCUUGUUUACUUGUGCAGAUUUUUUCAGAUUUUUUGAAAUCGAUAAUUUCAAAAUUCAAAAUUUUCAAAAUAUGGCCUCCAUGGAGGCCGAGAUCCAAAACGUCGUACUCAUUUUUGUAGGCUAAACUAGCCUACUAAAAUGUCUUAUAUUUUGAUAUGGAGGGGAUACAAUCUUGCAAAGUUAGUUCUAACACGGAGCUGGGCUAUCCCUUGCUUAGUACACCAUCACUCCAGACCUCACACAAGUAUUUAGUUAAACCAAGUAAUAUUUAGUUCAGACAUGGCUAUGUUAGUCGGGAGGGCAUUGGUACGCCCAGUCCACCAGAGUUCAAGCCCUAAAUUUAGCGCUUUGGUGUAUCAUAAAAGUGGAAAAUUCUUUAUAAAAGGAGUCAAGUAUUUACAAAAAGCAGGGAUGGAGAUACAGUAAACAAAUGGAACGGGCUGACAAAUUCAUCUUGUCGGGCCGUUGGACACCUUUGAUCUUUCAACGAGAUCCACCUGCGGAGCAGCAGCCUGGUCGUGGUGGGCCGAGCAGGGUGCGUGUGUGACUUGGCAAAAAAAAAAGGCGGAAGCCAGAAGUGAGACUAUCGGCAUUUCCUAUUUGGCGCGUUUAGCACUCGUUAUUUUGCAUUUUGCAAACGGGCACACACUCCCCCUCCGCAUUGGGCCGACCCAUUUGCUUUUUUCUGUUUAAACUAUAGAAAAGGUGUGCUCGCCCUGACUCGAACUCGUGAUCUCUUCAUUGAGUAUAAACCACAUUAACCACUAUGACAACUUAGCGCUUGUUCCUUCUUACUUUUUAAAAAUUUUAGUUCGCAGAAAGCCCCCGGUAGCUUCCCAACCUAGUUUUUUCCACUUUGCUGGACAGGUUUCAGACGGUUCUUAAUUGGCUUUUCUUCCUUUUUAUUUUUUCUUGUUUCUUUGUUUUUUAUUUUUUCUGGUUUUUUUCCUUUUCAUAUUUUAUUUUUUUGUUUUUCUUAAAUGCACGAUUUUGUUUCAAAAUUGAUGACAUUUUCAAUUCACGAACUUUUCUUCAAAAUUGAUGAACUUUUUAUCAAAAUCCUUGAACUUUUUUCAAAAUCAAUGAACAUUUUUCAAGAUUAUGAACUUUUUCAAUUUUGUACACUUUUUUCAAAAUUGAUGAACUUUCUUUCAAAAUAGAUCAACUUUUUAAAAAAAAUUGAUGAACUUUUUAUCAAAUCCAAUGAACUUCUUUCAAAAUCGUAGACUAUUUUAAAAUUCGUGAACUUUUUUUAGUUUGUUACCCUUUUUCAAAAUCCAUGAAAUGUUUUAAAUUCGUGAUGUUUUUCAAUUUUUGUGAUUUUUUAAAUAUUUUUUCAUUUUCUCGAAAAGACAACAGUUGACCGGUCAACCAUUUUAGCGAAAAACCAACUGCGUCUGGCGAGGGGACUACACUGUUAAUGGUUAAUGGGCCGGCCCAGUGCUGUAGCUUAGUGGGCACCAGUCUCCUAGCUGGUGCAUAAGGCGCCUGCCGAGACAGUCGGGAGGCUUGGACUGUUGACAAGUGUGAUCGGACUGCUAGAGAGCAUCCACCCGAAGAAAAGGCCGGUAGCAAGCUCAAGUUAUUCCGGGAGGCCGUGGGUGGCUUAGUUUUACUAUUUUUCAACUCAUAGUACUCUCUCCAUUUGGUAUUAAAGGGUCACCGAGUAGGAUUUGAAUUUGUGAGGCCGAUGUUAUUAUGGAGCAGUGAUUUCUCUACACCCCUUCCCCCUCCCAUAUGUGCCUUGAUUCAUUAUUUUUGAGGGUUCGAAUCAAAACCCGGAUGAACAAAGUGGUGCCAAGCUUCUUGAAUAAGAGAGUGCCCCAAAAGGUAAAAGUCGUGUUCUAUAGGAUGAAGAUUCGACCCUCAUUAUUGAAUGAUGGUUAACUAAAAGGCGACACAGGAUGAAGAUUCGACCCUCAUUAUUGAGUGAUGGUUAACUAAAAGACGACACAAGAUGAAGAUUCGACCCUCAUUAUUGAGUGAUGGUUAACUAAAAGACGACAUGUGUAGAGUUAGGUGUUGGACGUAAUAGAGUUAGUGUAGCCCUAAUUGAAGAGAAGUCUUAUCCGACAACAACGAUUAAAGCGGGUUGAUAAUGUCAAAAAAGGUCAAUAUAGACCAAACUUGAGAGGAGGCCAUAAAGGGGGGGUAAGAGUAUCACCAAAAGCCGACGAGUUGAUUUCAGGAUCACAUGGGUUUAAGCUCUUAAGCACCAGCUUGUUGGGAGGCUUUGUUGAUCUCUUUAUCCUUUGAAUCAAAAAGGACCUGACCAAAAUUUCUUAUUUCUGAAAAUGUUCAUCCCUUCCUCUAAAAACUAACUGCAGGUUUUAAAACGACCAUUACAAAUUCUAUAGGGAGGUUCCAGAAAUAUGCUACAGUGCGAUUUUGCUGUCUUUUAUAAGAGCAGUUUUUUCAUUGACCAAAGGGAUUUCCGUAAACGGAAAGAGCUGGGGAGCUAACCCCACCCAGCCGAGACGCCGAAACAGAUAUAAUACUGUCGCAUUGUACAGAAAACUAUUCCCUCCGUCCCAUAAUAUAAGAGCGUUUUUGACACUAGUGCAGUGUCAAAAACGCUCUUAUAUUAUGGGACGGAGGGAGUACAACCUAUAUAUGACAAGUAAAAUAGCCAAGCCGAUCCAAACCACUAGACUAGACAAGGAGCAACACAGUAAAAGCAUUUCUUGAAGUGAAGUAACGCGCGCGGGGUGGAUGCGGGUGACUCAAAGCAGACAUGUGUAACAGAUUAGCACACUUCUAAAUCACCUCCAUCGUCUACGUACGUCAUCUCAGUCUUUAGUCAUCUCCGUCCUCUUCGGCAUCGUCCUCACUGAUCUCGGAGUCAUCUUCAAGAUCCCCACUCGUCUCAGAGUCAUCUCCAUCCCCUUCAAGAUCCUCGCUCAUCUCGGAGGCAUCAUCAUCUCCAUCUUCAAGUUCCUCCAGACCUGCACAAAGAAACAAUGAUCCAUGAUUGGGAUAGCAAUCAUUUGUGUUAUGAAAUUCCUUUAGCCAGCAGACCCAAUAAAUGAAAAAAACAUUCCCCACUGAAAGCAUUGGAAUAAACCAGUUUAGUAGAUCUCCUACAUACCAAUCUCAUGCAAUUCAGGACACCACCUGAAUAAAUUGAAACAAGGUCGCAUUCAUUAGGUUUUGAAACAAAAAAAGACUUCUAUAAUGCAACAAGCGGAUGUUUCUAGAGUAAAGCAACAUAUACUGCAACAACAAAUCUAUACACAUGAGUGAAGAACAAGUUCACCUGUCUGUAGCAGCAAUCACUUCAUCAUGGAAAUCCUCCACCGAGUCAUAUUGAUUCAGGAAAUAAACCACCGUGGGAUCCGACACGUCAGUUCCUUGAGAUUAAUCAAAGAUAUAUUUAGUGCUGGUGAAAUUUAAAAUCCCGGCAAUAUAGUGAUCAAUUAACUAAUGAAAUGCAGUUGAAGCAUCAUAUUUUCAGCGUGCAAGUUGGGUACAAUCUUAGAAAUAAGAUGUCAACUUAAAAAGACAAAGAUCUAAUCAAGCUGGACAACGAUCUCAUAAAUAAGAUAUCAUAUGAAGCUGGACAACAAUCUUAGAAAUAAGAUGAUGUCUGUACAUGAAGUUCCAAACUGUGUUCCAGACUGAACAGACUUUUCCACAUUGUGCUGACCUUAUUGAUUCACUCUGCAUGUAUAGGUUGAAUAGACAGAGAGACGCUCCUUUUGGUUUCAUGAAUGAGGAUAAAUGUAAAGGAUUAAAAUAGCUUUGUGGUAGCAGGAUAUAUAUAGAAGAUUUAUUAAUAUAUUUUGAUGGCUGAAUGUAAAGUAAAUACAUGUGGGAUCUGGGGCAGCGCAUGCAUGUGUGGCUUAAAAAACAUUGUCGCCUGGCAAAAUGCUGGCACGAGAAGCUUGCUGGACAUGCUUGCAUGGAACUCUGACGAAUGAAGCUAUGCCUUUGGAUUGCGCUAUAAAAGUGCAAGUUUUGUUGUCUGAGUCUUCCUGUUUGGAGGAUUGAGGGAAGGGGAUCAGAGGGGCAAAAAAGAUGAGGGGUCGCAGCGGAAGGCCAGGAAUAGAGGUAACGGAGGAAAAAAAAGUUUUGACUCCAGCGGCUCGCCACAGCUGACAGGUCACCAAGAAUUUCAGUCCAAGCUUACAUGAAGAACAAUGACUGCUUCGGGUAAGAGAACAGAGGCGUGUGGAUGAGGGAUCGAUGUGAGAGAAAAGUGGUGGACGGUUACUUUAAAACGUGUCAUUAAGUAAGUAAAUUGGAUUGUUACACAAGCCAAGCUGUAGGAACAUAAUAGAGUGAAUUUCAAGCAUAAUGGACUGAUGUAAACAAGAAAUGUCUUCAAACUGUGUCAGAACAGCCUAAUAACAACAUAUACAAGACAGGCCACCACCAAGUAUAUAUGGUGCAUUCUCUGUUACAGAGCACCACAAGGCUGCCUUGGCUCACCUUCAAGCAGCGGUGUGUGUCGCCGUUGAAUGUGGACGGCGCAAAGGGCAGCUCGUGUUGUACAUGCGGGAACUUGAUUUGGUGAAGCACCGGUUUAUCGUCGAAGGGGUCGCAGGCAAGUACACAGUAGGAGAAGUCGAACCACCAGAGCAAACCUUGAUGGGUGAGAACGCCGUCACCGCGCCACACUUGUUUAUCCAAGAUUUUCGAGCAGUCGGGCUCCUUCUCGACCCACGAGUACAAGUCGACCGUGCAGAAGAGCGUGAAGAAGACAACCUCUUCGGAAAAGCACGGGUUGAGAUCGGCCACCAUGAGAAGCCUGCGGUUGUGAUCGCGGAUGAGGCCGACGCAGUGGCGGCAGUUGAAGCCGCCGUCGUGGGGGAAGAUGCCCGUCGUCCUGCGGAAGAACGGAUCGCAGAUGUAGACGGCGAGCCCGAAGGAGGCGUAACCGCAUAGCAGAAGGUGGCCGCUGCGGUCGGCGGCCGCGAUGUAGGGGUACUCGACGAGUCCGGCGGGGCUGGCGACGCUGCUCUCGACGAAUAGGCGGGAAGGUAGCGGAACCUUGUUGAAGGUGAAGACCGCGUUGGGGAAUUUCGGGGGCUUCAUGAAAUCUUCCGACACAUCCGGAACAGCGUACAUGAUGUACCACUGCUCCUCCUGCGCCGCCGGGGCCAUUGCUCCUAGGGAUGGGGAUGGGAGGGAGGAGUUGGAUCGGUUAGGGUUCCCUGAGAUGUGUGCGGGGACGUGCAAUGUGGUCGAUGGGAGUUGGUUUUUUUUUAGGGGGGAAAUCUUGCCGCUUUAUAUUUAACUAAACAAAGUUUGGGAUCUCAUCCGAAAUUAUAUCAAGAAUAAAGUCUGGUGGAGAAUCCACCCAAACAACACUUCUUUCUCCUACUCCUACCCUAGCAAGCUUAUGCACGGCAGUAUUCCCAGUACGACGAACCCAAGACACUUUGUACUCCGUGAAAGAGUUAAGCAUCUCGUUGAUCUCCUGAACCCAUGGUCCAACGGCAGACAAAUUCCGAGUAGGUUGAUUUAUCAUCUGCACAACCGACUUGCUGUCGAGUUCCACAUGCACUCUCGGUACCUGUCUCUCCAGCGCCAUCUGGAUCACCUUCCUGCAAGCGAGGACUUCCGCAGCUUCUGGAUCGAUGAUGUGUGGGUAGAACUGACAAGCCCCCACUAUAUAUGCUUCUUGAUGAUCUCUCAACACCGCUCCGCCUCCACCUUUGUCAUUAUGCCGAGAAACCGCACCGUCCACCUUUGUCAUUAUGCCGAGAAACCGCACCGUCGGCGUUGAGCUUAAUCCAUCCCUCAUCUGGUGGUUCCCAUCGCUGUAUCACCAUCGGCUCCGGGACCGGCCUGCUCUUCUCAUGCGCCAGCUUCCAUUCUGCAAGGUGUAGCUUAACCUCCAUCGCUAUUUCAUGUGGUGCGCCAUUCUCUUCCCAUCCCUCGCUUCGUUCCUCGCAAGCCACAGACUAUAGACAGCCUGGAUCAUGAGCUCCUUCUCCUUCCCAGCCGCCCAGACGAACCAGCCCAAUAGCCAAGAGGCAACUGCAUUCUGGGAGUGAAUCUGGCACAGCGGGAUCUCCACCGCUGCUCCCAAUUCCGAACACAAUGCCUUCCAGAACUGGAUUGAAUGCUGGCAUGUCCAAAAACGGUGAACCACCGUCUCUUCUCGUCCACAUGCCGCACAAAAAACAACCGGUUUGAUCCGACGAUGAAACAACUCCGACCCAACUGCUAGACCAUUGCGAAUAAGGCGCUACAUGUGGAUCUUGGUCUUCCCCGGAGCACUAGUUUCCCACAAUGCCAUGAAACCCUUGUGUCUGUGGACUGAAGAAGAGGACUCCGGCCGUCCGGACCUCGUUUGGUUUAUUCACAUACGCAGGUGGUACGCACUCUGAACCGAGAAAACACCAUUCUUCGUCAUGUUCCACGCUAAAAAAUCAUCCUCUCCGUGGCCUUCGAUUGCAAUCUGCUGAAUAUCUGCUGCAUCUCCCGGGGUGAACAUGGCAUCCACACGGGCUUCAUUCAGCCAGCCCCAUCGGGCAGGAGGAGAUCUGCCACUUUCGUUACUCCCGGCAUAUAUGUUUGUCCCAAAGGCUUCGUACUCCCCUCUCGUGGUAUCCAAGGAUCAUGAUGGAUGUUAAUUCUGGUUCCAUUCCCAAUUCUCCAUAUGAGUCCUUCCCGGAGUAGAUCUCUCCCAUGCAGCACACUCCUGAACGUGUAGGACCCCGAAGACGGACAUGAAGUCGUAAGGAUAGAGUCAUCCUUGAAAUAAAGUGCUUUGAGCACCCGUGCACAUAACGAGUUAGGCUCCUAUAGGAUGCGCCAAGCUUGCUUGGCCAGAAGGGCUUGGUUGAAAGCUUCCGGGUCACGAAAACCCAUGCCACCAUCCCUCUUACUAGCACACAUCUUCUUCCACGAUAUCAAUGAACCUUCCAUUCACCAUUCAUUGCGCCCCACCAGAAUUUAGAAGAGACAGAAGUCAGGUUCCGGUACAUCUUCUUUGAGAGGCGAAAACAACUCAUGGUAUAGGUAGGUGUCGACUGGUGGCCAGAUUUUAUCAAAACAUCUCUUGCUGCCUUUGAGAGGCCUUGACAUUUCCAUCCACUCACUUUUCCUUUCGAGCUUUCCGUAACAUGCUUAAAAACCCCAUCUUUUGAUCUUCUAACCAGUGUUGGAAGACCAAGAUAUCUCUCACUAAGAGCUUCAGAUUGAAUGCCACAAAUAUUUUUGACUUGUGUCUUGGUCUGCUCUAUGCAUCCCUUCCCAAAGAAAAUAGAGGACUUUUUUCAAGUUAAUUUUUUGUCCAGAAGCUUUUUCAUACUUGAUCAAUAUCUCACACAAAGUCUCCAUAUUUUCCUUGGUUCCUUCCAGGAACACAAUGCUGUCAUCCGCAAAUAGGAGAUGUGUUAUAUGGGGGCCAGUGCUCCCAAACGACACACCUUUCAGAUUUUUGUCCUCCUUUGCUUUAUUGAGAAGAGCAGAGAAACCCUCCACACAAAAUAAGAAUAAGUACGGUGAAAGCGGGCCACCCUGCCUGAGUCCUCGCGUGGGCUUGAAUCUCCUCGAUAGACCACCAUUUAACUUGACAGCAAAUUGCGUCGACGUAACACACCUCAUCACCAUAGCCACCCCACAUAGGAUGAAAACCAUACUGUACCAUCAUCUGUUCAAGAAAAACCCACCGCACCCUAUCGUAGGCCUUCAUCAUGUCCAGUUUUACCGCACAAAGAGUCUUUUUCCUCUUACGAGUCCGGAUAGCAUGAACACACUCAUACGCUACAAGGACAUUAUCCGUAAUGAGGCGACCCGGAACAAAGGCACUCUGUUCCUCAGAGAUAAGAAUAGGGAGUAUCCCUUUCAAUCUGUUAGCAAGAACCUUUGUCGCCAUUUUAUACAGAACAUUACACAGGCUAAUGGGGCGAAACUGUGAUAGCAGCUCCGGCGAGUUUACUUUGGGGAUCAUCACAAUGAUAGUGGCGUUGAACUCCUCCGGUGUUGCUGCUCCAUUCAAGAAGUCACGAACCGCCUGACACACAUCGUUUUCUACCAGUGGCCAGUGCCUCUGAUAAAACAGUGCGGGAAGCCCGUCCGGCCCCGGGGCCUUUGUAGGGCCCAUCUGAAAAAGUGCCACCUCUAUUUCAUCAUCAGUGAUAGGUGAGGUGAGCUUAUGAUUCAUCUCCGGAGUGACUAAGAGUGCAAUGUUCUGUAACAGCCCUUCGGUGUCCACUGACCCCUCGGAUUUGAACAAGUGUUCAUAAAAACUCACAGCCAUCUCUCUCAUAUCCUCAUCUACCGUGCACCUUGUGCCAUCAUCCUUCCUCAAAGCCUUCACAGUGUUUUUCCUCUUGCGAUGAGAAGCACGGUUUUGAAAGUACUUAGGGUUUUGAUCCCCAGCCUGUAGCCAGUCCACACGUGAUUGCUGUUUGUAUAGUAGCUCUUCCCGCGCAUAAAUCUCCCUUAGUUGCUCCUCCAAAUCCCGGACCUCUAGUGAGGAUCCAGUCUGAAGGUCUCUGGUUCGGGCAUCGAGCAGUUGCACUUUGAGCUUCGCUAUCUGUCGACGAAUGGAGCCAAAAACUUCCCGCGCCCAUCGCUGCAUAUUACCUGUCGUCGUGCAUAACCUACUCCACACCGCUAUGAGCGAAUGAUCACCCGUUGCUGCCGCUUCCCAAACCUCCUGAACCAUAGCAUCAUAAUUUUUGUGCCUCGUCCAUGCUUCCUCGAAUUGGAAAGCUCUCGGUCCCCUCCUCUCAGUACGCGGAGCCGUCUCCAACGCCUGAAUGAGGAUGGCCUGAUGGUCUGAUUCCUCCGUGACCAAGUGUUCGACAGAGGUCUCUGGGAACAUGUCUAGGAAGCUCGCCAUGCACGUCGCCCUGUCCAGUCGGACUUGGAUGUUAUCCUCCCCAUCCCUCUUAUUAUUCCAUGUAUAGGGCUACCCCGAAAAACUUAAGUCCGCAAGGCCACAAUCAGCCAAGCAAUCUCGGAAAUCCUCCAUCUGUGCAAACGGCCUCGGGUUGCCCCCCUUAUGAUCUGAUUGAAACAGGGCUUCAUUAUAGUCCCCAGCACAAAUCCACGGCAAGUUGUCUUGCGCCCUCAAUUACCUGAUAGCGUCCCAAGAUUUUUUACGAAGUUCCGUUUUUGGCUCCAUGUAGAAACCAAUGAAUCUACAGGUUUUGCCCUCCCACACCAUCUCCGCAUCAAUGAAAUAUUGGCUCCAUGGCCUAAUAGUCAUAGUGACUGAGUCUCUCCACCAUAGUGCCAAUCCUCCGCGAAGCCCCACACAAUCAACUGCUACUCCUUGCUUAAACCCUAGCCUCCACUUUAAUCGCUCCAUUGCUCUCGCCUUCUUCUUUUGUCUCGCAAAGAAAAACCACCGCCGGGUUGUAGGACCGUAUCAGGUCUCUUAAUUCGUCAACUGUCGAGUCCAACCCCAAUCCUCGACAGUUCCAGGCCAAGAGAUUCAUGGCGUCCGGCGGCCCCCCACCUCGGGAUCUGCCGAUAUGUCCUGGUUUUCGGAGAUGCGAUCAAACACAGUAUUCGUUUUCUGUCGCUUAUCACGAAUGAAAGCCUCAUUUGAAGUCUGUCUGUCAGGGUCAUCCUUUGCCACCCAAAAUUGCUUCGGCCCCCUCUUGCGUCCACCGUAAUCAUACCUUGGCAGGUUCCUGGCAAAUUGCACCUCUCUAUACUCCUGCCUUGGCUUUCUAACAUAGUGCCCCUUGGUCCUGUUCCUGCCGCGCUCCUCCCCUGGCCCGAACCGGCUCUGGUCAUCACCUCUGAAUUCACCCAAGUUUUGUAACCGUCCCGCAAACCUUCUCUCCCUCUCCGCAUGCCCCGGGCUGCCAUCAUGAUAGACCUGUUGCUUCUCUUGUAACUUGUUCCUCAGGUCCUUCUCUCUCUUUUUUUCAAGGCCGUGUCGCAGGUCCAGCUCCCUGGCCUCCCCCCGUCAUUCCCAGUCCUUUAUGGGGUUGUUUAUUUCCCCCCUCAUUGAUCUAGAACCACCGCCAGUGCGGGGAUCCGUCGAUCGUGAUAGUUCCUCAUUCAAGUUGCGUUUAAUUGGUAUAUCCUGUUUUCCUUUACUCUGGCGUCCCCGGUCGAUGUCGCCGAUUCUGCCACUACCCCAACUGUUAUUGCUGCUCAUAGACUGGCCAAAGGACCCCUCCUUUUCAUUUCCUUUCCUGCUGAGUGAUGCUCUAAGCCAUCCGCCCCAUUGAGCCGAUGAGUCCGUUGGAGGUACACAAACGCCUCCCGCAUGCACUAACCGGCCACAUUCAAAGCAAAAAUGAGGGAUUUUUUCGUAAUGAAAAUCAAACCAUGGCCCAUCCUUGUCAUCCCGUGAGGUUUGAGGUAAAAACCUCUCACCAGAGGCUCGAACAUAGAAAUUCUUGCUCUCACCCUUAGAUUGUUGCCUCUGGCCACCCCCUCACUGUCACAGUCAACUCGAACAAUGUCCCCCAACCAGUUGCCUAAUGCCUUACCAAACUUUUCAGUUCUCUUAUCUGGGGGUAGAUCAUCCACCCGGACCCAUACCUCUAUAGAAUCAAAAACCAUCUCAGACGGUCGUUUAUUUUCUUCAUAUUCCUUGAGAAUAAGCACGCUGAAAUUGUACUGCCAGGGUCCGUUGUUCAUUGCAUGUUUAUAAUCCCCCUCACUUCCAAAGUGCACCUCAAACACAUUCGAUCCCAGGUCUCGAAAUCUUGCUUCUCUGUGCAGUCCCCACGCUCUCGUCAUCGUUCGUUCCAAAGCGCUCCUGAUCAUUGGUCUGUUUGAACAUACCUUCCCAACUGCUGACCAUCUUGAGCUUUUGGGUAGCACCUCCUCCUGAUCAUCAAACACCAAACCUUCCGCCUCCUUAUCCAUCAGUACCAUCCCACCCAUCCUUGCCGAAAGACUCGACAUCGGAUCCGGGGUUUUUCUCUCAACUGGGGAUUUUGAAGAACCCCUGCUCAAUGAAUCUCCCGUCUUGCGCACCGGCGUAGCCAUCGCAGCCCGAGUUGUACCAGCCGGUGUUUUGUUCCGCUGUGCCGACACCCCCGGCGCCGUCGCCGGAGGCGCGGUUCCUCGCUGGUUUGUGGAGACCGACGCCGUAGCCACAGAUUUUGGCAUCGAAAAGGCCAUCUUCUCCUUCAUCGUAGCCUCACCCUUAGCAGGUGUAGGCCCUCCACGUUUCUGUGAGAUCGCCGCCGCCGCCGUAGAUGCCAUUGCCCCUGAAGCCGCCGUCGUCUUCUCUGGUGCUUUCUCCACCAUGGCUCCGCCCGCAGCAGAGAGGGAAACACCACCGAUCCGGGACUGAGUCAGCACCGUCGCCUUCCCGAUCCUGAUCGGAAUCUCUCUCACCCCCGUAGCGAAAACCCUAACCCUAGCACGCGAGCGCAAUCGCCUCACGUCACCUUAGCGUUUUCCCACGUGGUGGACCCCGGGGAGUUGGUUUCUUUAAGGAGUAUGUUUCAAGUUUAUUUUUCUUUCUUUAAGGAGUUCUUGUUUUGAAAAUUGUUCGGAAACUUCAAAAAUGUUUGCGCUUACAAAAAAUUUCAAAUUUUAUAAAAAUGGGUGUGUUUUCAAUUUUUUUUUCCUAAAUUCAAAAAUUGUUUCCAUUUUUAGAAUUUGUUUCGGAAUUUCUAGAAACGUUCCAUUUUUCUGAAAAUGUUUGCAUGUUUUUGUUCUUGUAUUGAAAACUUGAUCACGAAUUCAAGAAAUGUUCUUCUUUCAAAUUGUUGGUCAUGUAUUAAAAAUAUGUUCAUGUUUCAAUCUUGUUGGGAUUUUCAGAAUUGUUCUCCCUUUCAAAAUUGUUCUAAAAAUUCAAAAUAUGUUCGUUAUUUUAAAAAAAAUCCCCGUUUUGAAAACAAUUCUCAUAACGCGAAAAAAGUUCAUGUUUACAAAAAUGUUAAGAAUAUUAAAAAUUGUCCCUGUUUAUAAAUGAUGUUCACGUUUUAAAAAAAUGUUUGGGAAUUUCAAAAAAUGUUCGUGCUUCUCAAAAAUUGUUCAACAAUUCAAAAAAUGUUCCCAUUGUGAAAAACUGUUCAGAAUAUUAAAAAUUGUCUCACAAAUUCAGUAAUGUUUGUGUUUUCAAAAAAUGUUCGGGAAUUUUGAAAAAAGUUCAACAAUUCAAAACAGUAAACAGGCACUCUCGCUACAGCACCCACUAUUGGGCCGGCCCAGUCACGGGGUCCCUGUGCGUCGGUCGCGUGGCUGUUCGAGGCAAAACGCGUCGAAUAGGAGCUCCUGAGCUCCUGUAUGACGCUUGUUAGCGUCAAACAGAAGAGCUUCCGCACAGGGCUCGCGCAAACGAGCCGUCCCAUUGAUAGGCCAAUGUAAGAAAAAAAGUAACGAACGAAAAAUCAUAGCGCUAGUUGGUUUCCAACUUGCGACCUUGCACUGGAUAGCCACGUCGAAUGCCACUCCCGCUAGCAACUGGUAUUAUUUUUAACUAUAUCGUAAACUUCAAGUACCAUGUACAGCGGCAGAUCGGUUUUUUAAUCUUCAUUCAAAAAAAAUGAAUAAUGUUUUCUUGAACAAAUUUUGAAACUCGAACAAACUGUUAAAACAUAUUUUUUUAAAACUUACAAAUCAUUGAAAACAUGAACACAAAUUUAUUACUUUUUUAUAUACGAUGAAUGAUUUUCAAAUAUACACUGAACAUUUUUUAGAUGUACGAUGAACAAUUUUGAAGAACAUAGUGAACAUUUUCGUGAUAUACACUGAACAAAACUUAAAACAUAAUGAACAUUUUUGUGAUAUACCAUGAACAAAUUUUGAACAUUCAACAUUUUUAUAAUAUAAUCUGAACAAUUUUUAACCACGCAUUGAACAAUUUUGUGAUAUGCGCUGAAAAAACAUUUAAAUACCCAUUAACAUUUUGUGAUAUACACUGAACAAUUUUAAAAUUUUAACAAAAUUUGAAAAAGUUAAUAAAAUUAUAGAAAACUGUGAACGCGUUUUGAAAUAACGAAUUUCGUUGGGAUUUCGAAACAUUUUCUUGAAAACAAAGUAUAAAAAUAGAAACGAAAAAUGAUAAAAUGAACGGAAAGGAAAAUGAAAAGAAAUACAAACAAAAACAGAAUAAAAUAGAAAUAAAAAAUGAAACAGGGAAAAACCAGCAAAACAUUGAACAUUUUUGUAAAAAAAUACGCUGGAAAUUUUUUAGCUAAACAUUGAACAUUUUUGUGAUAUACACUGAACAAAUAUUUAAAUAUACAUUGAACAUUUCUGUGAUAUACGAUGAAGAAAGUUUUGAAUUGUGACAAUUUUUUAAAAAAGUGAUUUUUUGGAAACCAUUAACAUUUUUUUAUAUCAUGAACAAAAUUAUGAAUUUCAAACUUUUUGAAAACAAAGAAUAAACAAAUGAAAAAGAACAGAAGCAGAAAAAAAGGAAAAAAGAAAACAGGCAAAAAGGGAAAACCGACAAAAAGAAAAAAACAAAAAAACCCGGUUAAGGGAACCUUCUAGAAGGUUCCCAAAAUUGGUUGCCAGGAGCUGCUUUAAACGCUCGUUAUGGGCCAGCCCAUUUCGCACGCGCUUCAGCAAAAGCGGCGCAGCUGGACGCUCGCGCCCGUCACAUAGGGUUCGCCCCCCCCCCCCAAGGGCGUUUUUAGGCAAAAAAAAUAGCGCAUGUUGGGGUUGGCCGGUACUGUUUUUGGCGUGGGAGGCUCGGGGAGUUUCAACUCAAAUUCGGCACGAAUUCGUUACACUUCGGCACAAAUUCAGCAAAGAAUAAUUUUUAUCGCAUAGUUUAUCACAAAUAUUAGUACAAAUCAAAUAGUUCAACGAAGCAAGCUUAUAAUUCGAACACAAACUAAAACACAUCAAACUAGGCGUUGCCUUUGAGCCUCCAUAGGUGCUCCACCAGAUCGUGCUGCAGUCCUUAUGCACAUAUAGCUCUCGGAUUCCUAACGCAUAUUGAGGAAGGCAGCCCAUGCUACCGGUACCUGGUAAUCAACACCUGCAAUAUGGUUCAGUGUCAAACACUGGCUCGUCCUGCUCGCUCUCAAUGAUCAUGUUGUGCAAGAUGACACAUCAAUUCAUCACAUCCCACAUCUGAGAUUUCGACCAGGCCAGAGCGGGGUACUAGACAACAGCAAAUCGAGAUUGGAGCACACCAAAUGCACGCUUGACAUACUUCCUGCAAGCCUCCUGACACUUAACAAAGCAGGAUUUCUUGCCUCCUGGCACAGGGUUUGAGAUAGUCUUCACAAAUGUUGACCAUCUUGGAUAGAUGCCAUCUGCUAGGUAGUAUCCCUUGUUAUAGUGGCGCCCAUUGACCUUGAAGUUCACCGGAGGAGCAUGACUUUAACAAGCUUGGCAAAGACAUUCGAGCACUGCAGGACGUUGAUGUCAUUGUAAGUUCCUGGCAUACCAAGAAGGAGUGCCAAAUCUAGAGGUCCUUUGUAUUGCCUCAAGUACCACACCGCAAGCUCCUUUCGCUCCUUUCUACAUUCCCUGCCAGGCAAAUGGACAGUUUUUCCAUGCCCAAUCCAUGCAUUCGAUGCUUCCAAGCAUCCCAGGAAAUCCUCUUGCUUCUGUGCUAGGAUCCGAGCAGUGUCUUCAGCAUUGGGUGACCGCAAGUAUUCUGGUCCAAACACUUCCACCACUGCCCUGCAGAACUUGUACAAACACUAGGCCAUGCGUCCAAAUCUCUAGUCGCAUGUGCUUCUACCUCGCCGACAAACUGGAAGGGAUGGCCUUCCCCAACCCGGGGCUCUACACCCAUGUGAAGGGCAAGGAACAGUAGCAAUAGGUUGCUGAGGAUUUUGAGAAAAUCAAAUAGUGUUCCGGAGAAUUUUGUGAAUCAGAUGAACAACUAGGAAUGAACAAAUCCUUAAUACGUGUGAGGAUUAUUCGUAGGCGUAUUCAUGCAACAAAUAUCUAUAAGGCAGUGGCACAAGGGAUUCUUAAAAAGUUGGAGAAUAAUUUGAUGCACCUUGUAAUAACAAGAGCAGCUGGGAAUGAAAGUAAGAACGACAGGUGUAUGUAUUUAUCCAUAGGGAUAUAUCAGUGGUAGGGGAUUGCAAAAGCGACGGGCACAGAGUCUCGAGAGAGCAUCGGAGAGUAUCUUCGAAAUCUUCUGGUGUAGCAGGCGAUCAUCUGGACUGAAUGGGCUCUCCGGGAGAAAGUAUUUUCGAGAACCUAAAGUUAGAUUUUUAGCAAAAUUAUUUAAACCGAAUAUAAGAGAUAUCAGAACCCCAGAGUAUAGACGAGGAAUAAAAGAUCCUAAUACCACCCAAAUGGCUACAUGGACCCGUAAGCCACACAACCAUGUUAGCAAAAAGUUAUUCAAUGACUAGACUCAACUUCGGCCAAGGAGUUGGAAAGGGGGAUUCCUACUGGCAGUCGGCUCUGAUACCAACUUGUGACUCCCCUGAUUUGACCAUACACAAAUCAUACACGCAAAUGCGUACGACCAAGAUCAGGGACUCAUGGGAAGAUAUCACAACACAACUCUAGACACAAAUUAAAGUCAUACAAGCUUUAUAUUACAAGCCAGGGGCCUCGAGGGCUCGAAUACAUAAGCUCGAAAGCACAAUAGUCAGCGGAAGCAACAAUAUCUGAGUACAGGCAUAAGUUAAACAAGUUGUCAUAAGAUGGCUAGCACAAACAGGGAUAAAGAUCAAAAAGGCAAGGCCUCCUGCCUGGGAGCCUCCUAACUACUCCUGGUCGUCGACAGCCUCCACGUAGUAGGAGCAUCCGUCGGGGAUUUAGUAGUCGUCAGCGGUGGCAUCUGACUCCUAGGCUCCAACAUCUUAUCGCAACAUCCGGAAAGUAGAGAGAAGGGGGAAAUGGGUAGCAAAGCAACCGUGAGUACUCAUUCGAAGUACUCGCAAGACUUACAUCAGAUCUAAACUACAUAUGCAUUGGUAUCAAAUGAAUGGGGUAAUAUCUGUGGACUAAACUGCAGAAUGCCAGAAUAAGAGGGGGAGAAGCUAGUCCUAUCAAAGACUACGCUUCCAGUAACCUCCGUCUUGCAGUAGUAGAAGAGAAUAGCAGAUAAGUAUCAACACAUAGCAUAACCCACCUGGCGAUCCUCUCCUUGUCACCCUGUGAGAGAGCGAACACCGGGUUGUAUCUGGAAGUUAUCUGGGUGUGCUUUAUUAAGUCGGCUGGUACAUCAUCCUCCCAUAGGAGGCCUUUGCAUCUGGGCGUGUGUGGCCUAUUUUCAUUUCACCCCAGUUAUUCCAUCGAACUAAGUAGCAACAUGUAAGGAGUCAGUUUUCGAGAUACCACACAACACCAAUUUUCCAACGAAACUAAUGAGAAAUAAAAAGGUGCAUCACUCAUUUUCGACCAAAUUAAUUAUGUCUUGGUAUUAGAGUUUUCUCUCUCUGUCCUGAUAAACCCAAACGGAGGGAGUAAAGAUUAUCUAUCUCAACAUCACAUGAUUCUAAAUACAAAACAGAAAACCACGGCUAGAAGAGGACGACAUCUAGAGGCAUUGCUUUUCAUGUACUAAUACCUUGUUAAACACAUUCUCUAACAAAUUGGUUUGGAUCCUUCUUCAACAAUUUCCACACACUACAAGGCCAGUUCACAAAAGCUUAAAGCGUGAGCAUUGGUACAAAACUAGUUGUGGUCUAUCUUGAGAAAAGGGAACACUUAGUACACGAAACGUCACCUGUCUCAACAACUUGCACCAUUUCUGUUGGCUCGCAAAGUAACUUUAUUUAGUAUACCAACUUAAUUUGUGAGCAUUAGCCAAAGCAACACACAAUGGUAGGCAAAAACCAUGUCACUAAGCAAUAAAUAAAGGGGAGCCUCAACCCAUCUAUUCAUCUCCACCACCACCAAAACAACAUUGAAAACAUGAAGACCUUAUUCCUCCUAGCUCUCCUUGCUCUUGUAGCGAGCACAACCUUCGCGCAAUACUCAGAAGUUGGCGGCUGGUACAAUGAAGUUGGCGGAGGAGGUGGUUCUCAACAAUGUCCGCAGGAGCGGCCGAAGCUAAGCUCUUGCAAGGAUUACGUGAUGGAGCGAUGUUUCACAAUGAAGGAUUUUCCAGUCACCUGGCCCACAAAAUGGUGGAAGGGCGGCUGUGAGCAUGAGGUUCGGGAGAAGUGCUGCAAGCAGCUGAGCCAGAUAGCACCACAAUGUCGCUGUGAUUCUAUCCGGCGAGUGAUCCAAGGCAGGCUCGGUGGCUUCUUGGGCAUUUGGCGAGGUGAGGUAUUCAAACAACUUCAGAGGGCCCAGAGCCUCCCCUCAAAGUGCAACAUGGGCGCCGACUGCAAGUUCCCUAGUGGCUAUUACUGGUGAUGAUAUAGCCUCUAUUCGUGCCAAUAAAAUGUCACAUAUCAUAGCAAGUGGCAAAUAAGAGUGCUGAGUGAUGAUCUAUGAAUAAAAUCACCCUUGUAUAUUGAUCUGUGUUCGAGAUACCUGUGUAUUGAGUUUGUUGGUGGUGGUUUGUGUGCAUGUGUGUGCUUCUUUAACAAUAAUAAAAAUAUACAACUUGUUCGAUACUUCACAAGAAGGAGAAGAAGAUUAAAUGAUUCAUACAAGACAACUAUAUUUUGU
RNAcentral lists this long non-coding RNA (18862 nucleotides) under Triticum aestivum (bread wheat). RNAcentral's name for it is "long non-coding RNA (TAES_LNC008282)". The stretch from base 3944 to 4030 matches the Rfam family "MIR1120/MIR1122 microRNA precursor family". The record is from RNAcentral. Lineage: Eukaryota; Viridiplantae; Streptophyta; Magnoliopsida; Poales; Poaceae.